AAUUUGGAUGCAUCUCAAUACUUUAUGAGGAGAAUACGACUCCUUUAAGGAUGAAUCAACUAUCUCCAGUGGUCCCCCUUCGCUCCAUGAUUGCCAUAUCUGCCCUAUCAAGCAUAGAUAAGAUUCCUCUUGACAGAAGCCAUUGCUCUUCUAUCCCGUAAUGAUCUCUAAUAGUAUGACUCCAAAACUGAAGAUAUCAGAUUUAGUUGAAAAUCUGCCAAACGCUGCAUAUUCUGGGGACAUGUAGCCAAAUGUUCCAACAAUUCUGCUCGUCUUUUCUUGAAUUUGGUCUCUUUU
This 297-nucleotide unclassified non-coding RNA is filed under the name Hevea brasiliensis (rubber tree). The record is from RNAcentral. Lineage: Eukaryota; Viridiplantae; Streptophyta; Magnoliopsida; Malpighiales; Euphorbiaceae.